AAUAUUUUACUUUAGAAACCCAAAAAUGCAAGCCUGCGUCAACUAAUAAUUAGGCAGUAUGCAGUUCAGAUAUAUUAGUUCUGUAUGACACUGCUGAAUGAGUCAAAACGAAUGCUUAAUAGGGAUGCUAACAGCGCGCGAAAAGUCGCCUUUCGAUUUUAGAGUCGACUUGGAAUUUUAUGACUCUUAAAGUCGAUUAAUCAUAGCUAAAAGUCGACUUUUUUAAAAAUUAUACAAUUAUAUUUCCGUCAUUUAUGUUAUACUUGUACUAUGCUUAUUUAAAACGGUUACCAAGGAUACCAGCGAUGAUGUUUAUUUUUGUCAAAUCAGAAAAAGGCGACAAAACGGCUGACGAAGACGACACGGAAGAGGUCGACGACGCCAUCCAGUUGCUAAGGGAGGUGGCCAUAAAUAUUAAACAAACUUAGAUGUGUGCAGAUAAAUCUGCAGCACUCCAAGAGCCCUGGGUGAAGGACGCCGCGAUCAAAGGGCUAAAUAGCAGAAACAUCUAUUACAAGAAAAAUGAAGCACAGCAAAUAAAACGAUGCUAUGGGCGGAGAUGGAAGCAGGUAACUUCUUUCCAGUGUCAUCAUACAUGGCGUACGACAGGGACGUGCCACCUGUACCUCUAGUAAAACAGAGGAAAACAUAAGAGAGGAUAUACAAAAUAAUAGAGUGACGCCGACAUACCAUGUGGGGAAACACAAACACCAGGGCUGAGUCACUACAGCAAUAUAUUUUAAAUAGUAAUCUAAGUAUAAGUAAUAGGGGCGAUGAGCCCACCUUCAUUUUCCCAAGUUUGGAAAAUUUUUCGGGUUGAGAGGAAGUCUUGGAUCUCACGCUAUAAACAGAAACAAAUAGCCUGGUCGUCGAUGACUGGAGGGUGUCAGAGGAGCCAUCUAUGUCGAAUCAUUCCUGGAUACUCUUCCUCUUCGCGACAAAUCCAAUACUCUCCUCGAAUAUCGAAAGGAAAACAAUAUGGGAUACAUUUAUCAAGAUAGCAACAAAAACCUUAGAAACAAGUAGGUUUAGAAUAAAAUUAGUAAUUCUCAAGAAAUAGAUGCGGAACGGUGACCUUAAAACUCUAAGAACUCAAUUGAGAAAAGCCUUCAAUGAGAGUUAUGUGACCAAAUUCUGGCAAUCGUAUAUUGAAGCAAUAUAAAAAACGGUCGAGAAAGAAAAAACCGACUCUUGGCAGUCUUUCUGCAAAUCGAUAAAAAGAUGCAAAGAUCUAGCUAGACUGAGUAAGAUACUGUAUAAGGAAUGCAACAAUAUACCAAGUGUACUGUGUUUGGUGGGUUCAGAAGGAUGCGGUUAUCAUGAGUUUCUAAAACCUCGUGAAACUGUUAAUACUAAUCAUUACAGACAACAAAUGAUCAAUUUGAACCAUGCAUUGAUCGAAAAACGACCAAAAUGGGCCAGAGGACGCGGCAAAGUAAUUUUGUUACACGUCAAUUCACUUGCACACAAAGCAAAAUCAGCCCUGCUGACCUUGUCGACUCCAACGAUUAAUUCCAGGACGGCUUUGAGCUCUUUAGCAGGUUAAGUAGAUUUAUUCAUAAUUUGGGUUUCCGGUCAAAGGAAAGGCAGACGAGUUAACACCAUUCCCGCUGGGAAUGAUCAAAAGAGAACUUUAUAUGCAUUUUGUAUAAAUAACUCAGAGCAGAUGGAAAUCAAUAACAAGCUGCAAGAUAACAAAGCAGAUUUGGCCCUAGUAUGAAAAGAGCAGAACCAAGGACUUUAUAAAUAGAUCAAGAAAUAGUGUAUACAGACAUACAGCCACUUUAACAGGUCACUGGCCCUUUGGAGAGCAUGCGCUAAAAAUGGGCCUGCCUUAUAACAAUAUUUGCCCCAAUUGCAAGCUAGAAGGGAAUAAGGAAACUAUUUUCCAAUUCUGUGAAUGCCCAGCUCUGUCACAAACACGACACAAAACACUUAGAACCCAUAAAAGGUAUAACGAAUAUAAGAAGUUGCAUUGAGAGUACUAAAUGGUUUGAGUGCAACGAAGGGAAUAAGGAAACUAUUUUCCAAUUUUGUGAAUGCCCAGCUCUGUCACAAACACUACUCAAAACACUUAGAACCCAUAGACACCAAACCUUGAAUGGUUGUCCACAAAAGGUAUAACGGAUAAAAGUAGUUUCAUUGAGAGUACUAAAUGGUUUGAGUGCAACGAUGAAACGGGAUAGAAAAGUAUCAGUUCCUACGAAAGUGCAUCAAAAUUUCGCAUUCAACACUAUUUGGCCCAUGUGGGCAGCACUCUUACCUACCUAACUACCUACCUAUAUAACCUUUAAGAUAUUUGUUAAAACUUGACAUUUUGUUAUGAACCGAGGAAAGCACUACACAGCGGCAGAGCUUAAGCUUAUAAAAAGUUUUCAAUAUAAAAAAAACUCAAAAAAUUUGUGUUUACUGCUCUAAAACCUCAAAAAAAUGAGAAUUGGGGGAACGGCCACGAAAAACGACGUCUCAGGAUGACAAUUACAUAGACAAUGUUGACAAGAAAGACAGCGGAACAAUCGAAUUGUUUUUGCUUCAGCGCAUAUCAAUUGGACCGAUGAAGAAAACGAAAAAAAGUGGCAUAAAAUCCUUUAGUCCGAAUCUAAAAUAAAUAUGGUAGGUAGCGAUAGAAAAAAUUGGGUUUGAAGAAUGCUGAAAUGAAGGGUGUGUUCGAGAUGCCAAUCACUUGCAACAGCAUCACGUUCUACUGUCACUUUCUGCACGCAAUUUAUGCAAAUAAUCGGCAAGACUAAAUUGUUGUCUGCACAUCAGCAGAGUAUCAACAAAUAUGCAACACAGUAGCUGUACUGCAGCAAUUAUUACGUAGCUCGAACGCACCCGAAUUCCCGAUACACGACAAAAACUUUCAAACAGAGAUGGUAAUAUCAUGAUAUGGGGAUGUUUUUCGUCCUACGGAGUUGGACCGCUGUCUUGGGUUUGUGAAAUAAUGAACCGUUACCACUAUCUUAGAAUUUUAGAAGAUGAUGUAAUGCUUCCUCAUGCUAAAUGGAACCUGCCUUUAGUUUGGCAUGUCAAUAACCCGAAGCAUACCUCGAGUGUGGUCAACACUUGACAAUAGGAUCAAGGAAUCGAUGUUAUGACUUGGCCAGCGCAAUCUCCUAAAUUAAAUGCUAUGGAAAACCUGUGGAAGUUUGUAAAGGAAAAGUUGGGACCCACGAUGGAAAGAGGAGCCAUGGGAAAUAGUCUAAGAGGUGUUGUAUUCAAUACUGAAUUCAGCCUGUAAAGCGCUAGUGGAAUCUAUGCCGUACCCGCAAAUAAAGGUUUUGCAACAAAAUUCUAACUUA
Molecule: long non-coding RNA, 3302 nt
Organism: Bactrocera oleae (olive fruit fly)
Lineage: Eukaryota; Metazoa; Arthropoda; Insecta; Diptera; Tephritidae
Source: RefSeq, a predicted model, not a curated record